CUCGGCUGCCCACCUCAUCUACCUCGUGGGCUUUUUAAUCUGCCGGAAAAAUAGUAACCUCUGUUCUCCUCUUGCUCCUCGCCUCUAUUCGUCUUCCUCUUCAUCAACAUCUCAGCCGACUCCCCUCCUCCCAACGAUUUACGUAGCCGGGCAGCCGGCCUCCCUUCUCCUCAACAGCCGUGGAUUAACGCCUGCUCCUCGCCUUUCACAUCACAGCAAUCAAAACUAGAAACUGCUCAUAAAUCCCAAUAAUCACCAAUAGAAACUGCUCCACCGAAAUUAUACGCCGCCGCCAAAUCGACCUUAAAAAGAAGUCCAUGUUGCCAUACGCUUCACCCGCCAGGCUACUCGUGCCCCUGCUCGCGCAGCCAGCACCGCCGGCGGCCACCACGCUGGUUGACCUCCACCUGGAAAUCCCAUUCACGGUUUCCCCCAAAUCUGAUAUUAUUGGUGCCUCCAAUCUGAUACUUGAAGCCCCCUCGAUUUUUUUUUUGGAUAUUUUGGCAUCUCGCUCUGAUUGCUGAAGCUAGAAGACGCUGGCCAUCAUAUCCUCUACUGUGUGACUCUGCACUAUACAUGUUUCCGUUGGUUAACCUCAGGCUCGCAGAUCCGCCUCAUGUUUUACUCGGAUCGAUUCUGCCUGCUGGUACCACUUUGCCGCCUGGUUUAUUUCAAAGUUUCGCCUUCCCUGAUUGCUCUCUUAGGAUUCAUUGGAGUGGAAAAGGUGAAGAUCUCCCAGCUCAAGAACUUGAAUUUUAUAAUGUCAAACGACCUAAGCAAGAGUAUGUAUGUUUCCUCAUAUCACAUACAUCUCAUUCGCCAUUCUCAUUGGUUUAUCCUCAAACAGCGUAUCAGACAUCAACGUUGCGGCAAACAUCUAAGGAAGGCAGCAGGACAAAAAAUAAAAUAACAUAGGUAUUUCCAUUUCUUAUAGUGCUCUUUCUCUGAUCACAUGCAGUGCAUCAUCAAGGACGCAUGGAACAAUUCAAGAUUGCAAUGACUUCUACCUAAAUUACUUAUGUAGUUGCUUACAUGAAAAGUUGAUGAUCAACGCAUUUACUCGCUUCUAUUGUAAUCCAUAAUAACGCAGUGUAAUCCAUUAUGUGUCUUUAUGGCAAUAGUUUUCUUUUCGGCAUUUUCAGUUUGCUUUAGUACCACGCCAAAUCCUUCAUGUAUUGUUCACGUCACAAACUUUUAUAUCAAUAUUGGUGACAUCAUAUGCAAGUGCAGAAUAUGUGGGGAUUUACAAACUUC
Long non-coding RNA from Lolium perenne, 1254 nucleotides. RefSeq lists it as uncharacterized. The record is from RefSeq and is a predicted model, not a curated record. Lineage: Eukaryota; Viridiplantae; Streptophyta; Magnoliopsida; Poales; Poaceae.